AACGCUGGCGGCAUGCCUUACACAUGCAAGUCGAACGGCAGCACGGGAGCAAUCCUGGUGGCGAGUGGCGAACGGGUGAGUAAUAUAUCGGAACGUGCCCAGUCGUGGGGGAUAACGUAGCGAAAGCUACGCUAAUACCGCAUACGAUCUAUGGAUGAAAGCGGGGGGAUCGCAAGACCUCGCGCGAUUGGAGCGGCCGAUAUCAGAUUAGGUAGUUGGUGAGGUAAAGGCUCACCAAGCCGACGAUCUGUAGCUGGUCUGAGAGGACGACCAGCCACACUGGGACUGAGACACGGACCAGACUCCUACGGGAGGCAGCAGUGAGGAAUAUUGGACAAUGGGCGCAAGCCUGAUCCAGCCAUGCCGCGUGCAGGAUGACGGUCCUAUGGAUUGUAAACUGCUUUUAUACAGGAAGAAACACUACUUCGUGAAGUAGCUUGACGGUACUGUAAGAAUAAGGACCGGCUAACUACGUG
RNAcentral lists this ribosomal RNA (476 nucleotides) under uncultured bacterium. Its description in RNAcentral is "bacterial SSU rRNA". It matches the Rfam family "Bacterial small subunit ribosomal RNA", at positions 32 to 507 of the family's 1533-position model. The record is from RNAcentral.